This 253-nucleotide ribosomal RNA is filed under the name uncultured bacterium. RNAcentral describes it as "partial 16S ribosomal RNA". It matches the Rfam family "Bacterial small subunit ribosomal RNA", at positions 524 to 776 of the family's 1533-position model. The record is from RNAcentral.
UACGGAGGGUGCGAACGUUAAUCGGAAUUACUGGGCGUAAAGCGUGCGCAGGCGGUUAUAUAAGUCAGAUGUGAAAUCCCCGGGCUCAACCUGGGAACUGCAUUUGAGACUGUAUAGCUAGAGUACGGUAGAGGGGGAUGGAAUUCCGCGUGUAGCAGUGAAAUGCGUAGAUAUGCGGAGGAACACCGAUGGCGAAGGCAAUCCCCUGGACCAGUACUGACGCUCAUGCGCGAAAGCGUGGGGAGCAAACAGG